Molecule: ribosomal RNA, 460 nt
Filed under: uncultured bacterium
Lineage: Bacteria
Description: partial 16S ribosomal RNA
Rfam family: Bacterial small subunit ribosomal RNA
Source: RNAcentral
CCUACGGGAGGCUGCAGUAAGGAAUAUUGGGCAAUGGGCGCGAGCCUGAACCAGCCAAGUCGCGUGAAGGAUGACUGCCCUACGGGUUGUAGACUUCUUUUAUAAGGGAAUAAAGUGAGGCACGUGUGCCUUUUUGUCUGUACUUUAUGAAGAAGGCACGGCUAACUCCGUGCCAGCAGCAGCGGUAAUACGGAGGCUCCGAGCGUUAUCCGGAUUUAUUGGGUUUAAAGGGUGCGUAGAUGGGUUGUUAAGUCAGUUGUGAAAGUUUGCGGCUCAACCGUAAAAUUGCAAUUGAUACUGGCAGUCUUGAGUGCAGUAGAGGUAGGCGGAAUUCGUGGUGUAGCGGUGAAAUGCUUAGAUAUCACGAAGAACUCCGAUGGCGAAGGCAGCUUACUAAACUGCCACUGACAUUGAUGCUCGAAAGUGUGGGUAUCAAACAGGAUUAGAUACCCCUGUAGUC